Molecule: long non-coding RNA, 1038 nt
Filed under: Salvia miltiorrhiza (redroot sage)
Lineage: Eukaryota; Viridiplantae; Streptophyta; Magnoliopsida; Lamiales; Lamiaceae
Description: long non-coding RNA (SMIL_LNC004820)
Source: RNAcentral
GAUUUAAAAUCGAAGCCAGUAUUUAUUUACAGUUCACAGAUUACAGUCUAGUUUCCAGCUUGGGAAAAUCGUCUAGUAUAUUACAAAAGCAAAAGCUCUUCAAUCAAUUAAAGUUUAGAUAAAAUUUUUAUUUCAUCUUUUGCUAUUUACUCCACCAACACCACUCCAACCUUUUGCUUUCCUCCCUCAGCCAACCACCACCACUAUCUCCAAUAUCUCCAAUGAUUUAACUAUCAACUCCACCACCACUUGCUCCCCACCCAACAAAUGCAAUAUUCACUCUCAUUUCAAUUUCAUCCAAAAGUUCAGAGGAUCAAUUCCAGUUCAGCCGAAGCUCUCAAGGUAAUGCUUGGUUUCAAUGCUUUCUUCUCCUUUGAUUAAGUUCAUCCUGCAAUUGUUAAGCAAAUAAGCAAUUUAUUUCAGUUUCUAUCCACUGAUUCAAACACCACAGCAGCCAACAUCAAUUACAAGCCUAAAUUUCUCAUUGAAUUCAAUAGCAACAAACAGCCACCAACACCAAGCAUAGCAGGUAUAUACUUAGCUCAGCUCCAGUUCAUACAUCAUAUCAUCAAGCAUAUGUUUAAAAAGGAAAUACAUAGUAUACAGGUGUGUAUAUAUAUGCACACAGGGACUUAGCAAUCGAAAUCAGUUUAUGCUAUAUUUUCUUAUCACACGAGGCAAGCAAGGAAAAUUCUUGAUACAUUAGUAAACCACGAACUUAGUUUUAUCUCUUGCAUAAUACAGAAAUCAGUAUAUAUUUUCUUCACUUAAGAUAAAGGCAAUGAGAAAACUCUCAUAAAUCAGUAGCAAAAACCAAGACUCCACAUAGACUUAAGUAUUGAACUUAGCUGUAGAAGGGCUGACUGCCCGACGGGGACGGGGACGACGACGACGGUCGGGACAGGGCGAACUCGUCCAACCUCAUCAGAGCCCCGAACAGCAGCUGCCCGGCGACGAGCUGAGACUCGUGCGCAGCAGCAGCGGUCGCUCGACAGUUGCGUUUUUCCCUUUUUCUGAGAACUAGGGCCCAACGACGGA